RNA transcript from Zalophus californianus (California sea lion), 622 nucleotides. It is a transcript of the gene named protein Asterix-like, with no coding region annotated. NCBI's taxonomy places the organism in Eukaryota, Metazoa, Chordata, Mammalia, Carnivora, Otariidae. The transcript has a single exon. The record is from RefSeq and is a predicted model, not a curated record.
AUGUCCACCAACAAUAUGUCGGACCCACGAAGGCCAAAGUGCUGAGGUACAAGCCCCCGCCGAGCGAGUGUAACCCGGCCUUGGACGACCCGACGCCGGACUACAUGAACCUCCUCGGCAUGAUCUUCAGCAUGUGCGGUCUCAUGCUCAAGCUGAAGUGGUGCGCUUGGGUGGCUGUCUACUGCUCCUUCAUCAGCUUUGCCAACUCCCGGAGCUCUGAGGACACUAAACAGAUGAUGAGUAGCUUCACGCUGUCCAUCUCUGCCGUGGUGAUGUCAUAUCUGCAGAACCCUCAGCCCAUGACGCCCCCCUGGUGAUGUCAUCCUAGGACUACUCUGUACACCUUCCCCCAGGCCUGGCCCCUGGCUGUUCAGCCUCUGCCCUCAGCUGCUGUCCUGGGCUUCCCUGAAUGAGGUAGUCUCAGGACUCACAGCUGGAUGGAGGGAACCUGACCCUUUACCUGGGAUUCCACUUCUGCUGGGCAGAGCAGAAUACCCUAGGCCUACCCCUCCUGCCUGCCUUUCCCACCCUGCCUGCUGCUGGGGGAGAUGCUGUCCAUGUUUCUACGUGUAUCCACUCUUUUUGUUGAAACCAGUUAAUUAUUAAUAAAGUUUUGCAUUCU